Aphidius gifuensis is the source of this 1726-nucleotide RNA transcript. RefSeq lists it as uncharacterized. The record is from RefSeq and is a predicted model, not a curated record. Lineage: Eukaryota; Metazoa; Arthropoda; Insecta; Hymenoptera; Braconidae. The transcript is spliced from 11 exons.
ACUAUUAUGGAAUAUUUAUUUACAAGAAGCGAGUCUCUUGUAAUCAAUGAUCAUUACAAAAAAUUGAUCAUUGAUGUGACAACAACUACUCAUGCUGCGUCAAGCUUUACUGCAUUUUUGUGUACAAGUCCAGAUGAGGCAGUUCAAUUAUCCAAAGACAUGACUAACAAUUAUAAAAUACAUAAUCUACAAAAUAAUUUUAAAAAUUAUGAAUUUUCUGUUGACAAUAAUCAAGUUGCUCAUCAAUUAUUUUACAUUGUUGAUUUUCAGUGUGAGGACUCAGUCAACCUGUUAAUCAAGGCAAAUUUAAGUCAAAUGUUUUUAGCUCCAAGAAAAUGGUUAAUUCUUCAAGAUCUUACAAAUUCAACAUCGAAAUUAUCACAGAAUAAAUUGAUAAAUUUAUUCAAUGAUUUUGAUGUUUAUCCAGACAGUGAAGUUUAUAUAGCUCAGGGAUAUCAAAGUAAAAUAAAUAAUAGCAUUGAAUUAUUAUCGUUAUAUCGUCCAAGCCCUUAUCGAAAUAUUGUUAUUGAAAAUCGUGGUAUUUGGGAUGAACAAAAUGGUCUUCGGCUUAAUAAUCAUGAUCCAUCUUCAAGAAGACGAAGAAAUCUUCAACAAACACCUUUGAAAUCUUGCCUUGUGGUUACAAACCCAGAUACACUGAAUCACUUGACUGACGCAAAGGAUAAAUUUGUUGAUACGAUAACUAAAGUCAAUUAUCCAUGGAUACUUCAUAUUGUCAAUCGUAUUAAUGCAACCAUAAAUUUUACCGUUCGUGAUACAUGGGGAUAUCAAGAUGAUAAUGGCUCUUGGAGUGGUAUGAUUGGCUUGCUUGAUCGUGGAGAAAUUGAUAUUGGAGGAACAGCAACAUUUUUGGUUUCAUCACGAAUUGGUGUUGUCGAUUAUGUUCAACUUUACACACCAACAAAAUCAAAAUUUAUAUUUCGACGACCACCAUUGUCGUACGUCAGAAAUUUAUUUACACUUCCAUUUAGUAGAUCUGUUUGGAUGACUAUAAUUAUUUUUUUGAGCUUAGUUUGUCUUAUAUUGUACAUCACUAUGAAAUGGGAGACAAAACAUAUUUGUGAAAAUCAUUUAGCUGUAGUUCAGUACUCAGUUGACUGGAAUCCAAAUCCAGCGAUAAGUGAUAAUUUUUUAGUAAUUCUUGGAGCUGUUUCUCAACAAGGUUUCUUCUAUGAGGCUAAAAUGAUAUUUGUUGUUGAUUUAUGCACUAAGUUUAUAUGCUGCCUACUCUGCAAAUAUUGUUGCAAAUAUUCAACGAACAAGUGAUUCAAUACAAACAAUAAGUGAUCUUAUGGACAGUUCAUUGAAAAUUGGUAUACAUGACAUUGUGUACAACCGUUAUUACUUUAAGAAAUUAGAUGACCCAGUGAGAAAAAAAUUUUAUGAUACCAAGGUCAAAGACAAAACACUGAAAAUGUUGUCACAAAAACAAGCUGAAGGUGAUGGUGGGUGUGAAGGAAAUGAGGAUGGAUCAGUAACACCAAGUGGUAUAUCAAAUGGUGAAGGAUCUAAGGAAUUUUUAUCGACUGGUAGAACUGGAAGGAGAAAUGCUAUGCCAGAUAUUUUAGGACGAAAUGCCAAGACUGGAACAGCUGAUUUAUCAACACGUCUUGAGGCACUUACCACUGAUUCCGAGCAAGUUGUCUUAUUUGAAAGACAACAAAAAAAAAAAAAUAAUACAAUAUUUGUAUCUAUGUUUGUUUGA